RNAcentral lists this ribosomal RNA (730 nucleotides) under Micromonospora sp. SCAU5223. RNAcentral's name for it is "bacterial SSU rRNA". It matches the Rfam family "Bacterial small subunit ribosomal RNA", at positions 68 to 816 of the family's 1533-position model. Lineage: Bacteria; Bacillati; Actinomycetota; Actinomycetes; Micromonosporales; Micromonosporaceae. The record is from RNAcentral.
GGAAAGGCCCUUCGGGGUACUCGAGCGGCGAACGGGUGAGUAACACGUGAGCAACCUGCCCUAGGCUUUGGGAUAACCCUCGGAAACGGGGGCUAAUACCGAAUAUUACUUGACCUCGCAUGGGGUUGGGUGGAAAGUUUUUCGGCCUGGGAUGGGCUCGCGGCCUAUCAGCUUGUUGGUGGGGUGAUGGCCUACCAAGGCGACGACGGGUAGCCGGCCUGAGAGGGCGACCGGCCACACUGGGACUGAGACACGGCCCAGACUCCUACGGGAGGCAGCAGUGGGGAAUAUUGCACAAUGGGCGGAAGCCUGAUGCAGCGACGCCGCGUGAGGGAUGACGGCCUUCGGGUUGUAAACCUCUUUCAGCAGGGACGAAGCGUAAGUGACGGUACCUGCAGAAGAAGCACCGGCCAACUACGUGCCAGCAGCCGCGGUAAGACGUAGGGUGCGAGCGUUGUCCGGAUUUAUUGGGCGUAAAGAGCUCGUAGGCGGCUUGUCGCGUCGACCGUGAAAACUUGGGGCUCAACCCCAAGCCUGCGGUCGAUACGGGCAGGCUAGAGUUCGGUAGGGGAGACUGGAAUUCCUGGUGUAGCGGUGAAAUGCGCAGAUAUCAGGAGGAACACCGGUGGCGAAGGCGGGUCUCUGGGCCGAUACUGACGCUGAGGAGCGAAAGCGUGGGGAGCGAACAGGAUUAGAUACCCUGGUAGUCCACGCUGUAAACGUUGGGCGC